UACGGAGGGUGCAAGCGUUAUCCGGAUUUACUGGGUUUAAAGGGUGCGUAGGUGGGCGAGAAAGUCAGUGGUGAAAUCUCCGGGCUUAACCCGGAAACUGCCAUUGAUACUAUUUGUCUUGAAUACUUUGGAGGUAAGCGGAAUAUGUCAUGUAGCGGUGAAAUGCUUAGAUAUGACACAGAACACCGAUUGCGAAGGCAGCUCACUAAACUGUAACUGACGCUGAGGCACGAAAGCGUGGGGAGCAAACAGG
This 253-nucleotide ribosomal RNA is filed under the name uncultured bacterium. RNAcentral's name for it is "partial 16S ribosomal RNA". It matches the Rfam family "Bacterial small subunit ribosomal RNA", at positions 524 to 776 of the family's 1533-position model. The record is from RNAcentral.